RNAcentral lists this ribosomal RNA (450 nucleotides) under uncultured bacterium. RNAcentral describes it as "partial 16S ribosomal RNA". It matches the Rfam family "Bacterial small subunit ribosomal RNA", at positions 354 to 796 of the family's 1533-position model. The record is from RNAcentral.
GUGGGGAAUAUUGCGCAAUGGGCGAAAGCCUGACGCAGCGACGCCGCGUGAGGGAUGAAGGUUUUCGGAUCGUAAACCUCUGUCAGAAGGGAAGAAACUACGUUGUGCUAAUCAGCAGCGUACUGACGGUACCUUCAAAGGAAGCACCGGCUAACUCCGUGCCAGCAGCCGCGGUAAUACGGAGGGUGCAAGCGUUAAUCGGAAUUACUGGGCGUAAAGCGCACGUAGGCUGUAGUGUAAGUCAGGGGUGAAAUCCCACGGCUCAACCGUGGAACUGCCUUUGAUACUGCACAACUUGAAUCCGGGAGAGGGUGGCGGAAUUCCAGGUGUAGGAGUGAAAUCCGUAGAUAUCUGGAGGAACACCGGUGGCGAAGGCGGCCACCUGGACAGGUACUGACGCUGAGGCGCGAAAGCGUGGGGAGCAAACAGGAUUAGAUACCCCUGUAGUCC